This 540-nucleotide ribosomal RNA is filed under the name Mycolicibacterium porcinum. RNAcentral describes it as "bacterial SSU rRNA". It matches the Rfam family "Bacterial small subunit ribosomal RNA", at positions 44 to 601 of the family's 1533-position model. The record is from RNAcentral. Lineage: Bacteria; Bacillati; Actinomycetota; Actinomycetes; Mycobacteriales; Mycobacteriaceae.
GUGCUUAACACAUGCAAGUCGAACGGAAAGGCCCUUCGGGGUACUCGAGUGGCGAACGGGUGAGUAACACGUGGGUGAUCUGCCCUGCACUUUGGGAUAAGCCUGGGAAACUGGGUCUAAUACCGAAUAGGACCGCGCUCUUCAUGGGGUGUGGUGGAAAGCUUUUGCGGUGUGGGAUGGGCCCGCGGCCUAUCAGCUUGUUGGUGGGGUAAUGGCCUACCAAGGCGACGACGGGUAGCCGGCCUGAGAGGGUGACCGGCCACACUGGGACUGAGAUACGGCCCAGACUCCUACGGGAGGCAGCAGUGGGGAAUAUUGCACAAUGGGCGCAAGCCUGAUGCAGCGACGCCGCGUGAGGGAUGACGGCCUUCGGGUUGUAAACCUCUUUCAAUAGGGACGAAGCGCAAGUGACGGUACCUAUAGAAGAAGGACCGGCCAACUACGUGCCAGCAGCCGCGGUAAUACGUAGGGUCCGAGCGUUGUCCGGAAUUACUGGGCGUAAAGAGCUCGUAGGUGGUUUGUCGCGUUGUUCGUGAAAUC